This 1949-nucleotide long non-coding RNA is filed under the name Sus scrofa (pig). Its description in RNAcentral is "lncRNA (ENSSSCG00005028336.1)". The record is from RNAcentral. Lineage: Eukaryota; Metazoa; Chordata; Mammalia; Artiodactyla; Suidae.
UUUUUUUUUUUUUUCUCCUAAGAGCUAGUCACCUUUGUUUUCUCUCUAGGAAGGAAAGAAUAAUAUUUAAUAAUUACUGCUUGAAAUAAUAGGGAAGGUCUGUUCUGAAACAAAUUCCAACUGGAUCGAAAAAUUAAAGGUAUGAAAAAAAAUCUCAGAGUUCCCGUGUGGCUCAGUGGGUUAAGAACCCAACAUAGUAUCCAUGAGGAUGCAGGUUUGAUCCCUGGCCUCAUUCAGUGGGCUAAGGAUCCAGUGUUGCUGAAAGCUGCAGUCAGUGUAGGUCACAGAUGAGGCUUGGAUCCAGUGUUGCCAUGACUGUGGUGUAGGCUGGCAGCUGCAGCUCUGAUUCAGUCCCUAACCUGGGAACGUCCUUAUGCUGCAGGUGCUGCCAUUAAAAAGCAAAAAAAAAAAAAAAAAAAGAAUUUUGAUAAAUUUUUGGAAGGUAGAAAAUAUGAAUUAAUGAGAAAUCUACUUAUCAAAAAGUAGAGAAAAUUGUAAACAUAAGAGCCUAGAAAAGGGCUGGGAACCAGACCUGAGUCACUUAUCCUGGAGAGGUCAGCUCAGGGUCACCAAGCAGGAGAAGGGAGUGGGGAGUGGGGCUGAAACCAGAGGUAGAGUGGUAGUAAGAACAUGCCUUUGGGUUGCUUGCUCACCCCACCCCCUGCUUGAUAGUGGUCGGCCAAGAGCAAGUCGUAUCCCUGUCUCUCUCCUCCUCCACUGCAGUCCAUUCCUCUAAUUCCACUACCACCAGACCAUCAGUUGUACUCACAUUCCUUCUGUUGAAAAGAACUGGUCAAAAUGUUCUUCCUGGAUGCAGGGGGAGGUGGAAGAUGCCGUCCAGGGCCUGCGUGGGCUGCCCACCACUCCUCUGUGCUGGGAAAAGAAGAUCUGCCUUUUGAUGGCCCAAUAGCAGCAUAUGCCACACUCUCUAAGAACUGUUGUAUAAUGAAGAUGUGAAUUAUUUGUGGAUGCUAAUGGCAACUGCUAACAUCUAAUGAGUCAGGGAUUGUGUCCAAGGAUUUAUGUACAUUAUCUUGAGUCUCAAAACCUAUGAGGUUGUGUCCUGUCCCCUUGCCUCGAGUUUCAAAAACCACAACACCAUCUAGCAAGGGCACCUGUUGUACCUCGUUUCUGAAGAGUGAGCCUGGGCUGCAAUGAAUUGAUGGCUGGAUCUGCAUUGCCAUUUUGUAACCUUGAGAGAAAAGUCUGGAGAAUCAUAGGUGCAUCAGCCCUGACAACACUGACUCGGAGAACCAAGAUCAGCAUUUAACUCCUUGGUCAAAAAUAUGCAGCGCCCACACGCGCAAAAGGAGUCCCCUGGUGGCCUAGCAGGUUAGAAGAGAAGAUAUCUAACUGUGUUGUCCACAAAAUUUACCACCUAUCUGCAGUUCCUCUGGCCAAAGGUCACAGCAACUCUGUCAUCGCCUCUUUUCCCAUCACCGGUAAGGUCUGUUUUCCUUAGGCUGCAGCCAUCUCAGCUGCUAUCACCAUUGGAUGUACCAAGAGGAGCCACCAUGGCACCACUCAUCACCACAGCGGCCACUUGUUAGGUUUACCAACGGAGGAACACGCACGGCCAAGUCGAUAAAGCAAGAGAGAUUUAUGAAGGCAUCUGAAACAGAUGGGCUGAGUUCAAGAUGGCGCCACCCUGAUGCAGCCGUCGAGUCUGUUGUGACCACAUCUACCACUAUCUCCUCAGUCUCCAUUGCCUCUGCCGCCAUCUUUUCCGCCGUCUCCUCAGUGGAAGUCACAGCCCUUACCAUCCGUUGGCCCGUCAUCAGCCUGCACUAUCUCCACAGGCUUUGCUGUCUGGAGAACUAGUCAUAAACAGAAAAACUGUGGUGGGCACUUUCCUGGACAGGUGAAUACCUGUACAAAUACAAAAUGAAGCAGAAUGUUGGGUGGUUCCUGUAUCUCGAAUAGAAGCACAGUUAUUCGACAUUUCAAAU